GGACUACCGGGGUUUCUAAUCCUGUUUGCUCCCCUAGCUUUCGUCUCUCAGCGUCAGUUGCGAUCCAGUGAGCCGCCUUCGCCUCUGGUGUUCCUGCAGAUAUCUACGCAUUUCACCGCUACACCUGCAAUUCCACUCACCUCUCUCGCACUCGAGCACGGCAGUUUCGGAAGCAGCCUCUGGGUUAAGCCCAGAGAUUUCACUCCCGACUUGCCACACCGCCUACAGACCCUUUACGCCCAGUUAUUCCGAGCAACGCUGGCCCCCUACGUCUUACCGCGGCUGCUGGCAC
RNAcentral lists this ribosomal RNA (292 nucleotides) under uncultured Acidobacteriota bacterium. RNAcentral's name for it is "uncultured Acidobacteria bacterium partial 16S ribosomal RNA". The record is from RNAcentral. Lineage: Bacteria; Pseudomonadati; Acidobacteriota.